RNAcentral lists this transfer RNA (73 nucleotides) under Brachybacterium sp. RNAcentral's name for it is "tRNA-Lys". The stretch from base 13 to 73 matches the Rfam family "tRNA". From Rfam's summary of the family: Transfer RNA (tRNA) molecules are approximately 80 nucleotides in length. Lineage: Bacteria; Bacillati; Actinomycetota; Actinomycetes; Micrococcales; Dermabacteraceae. The record is from RNAcentral.
GAACCUGCUGGAUAGCCUGUGUGUUGGCGGACUUUUAAUCCGCGGGUCGCGGGUUCGAUCCCCGCCGGGCCCA